UACGUAGGAGGCGAGCGUUAUCCGGAUUUAUUGGGCGUAAAGGGGGCGCGGGCGGCUCUUCAAGUCGGAUGUGAAAUCUCCUGGCCUAACUGGGAGAGGCCAUUCGAAACUGUUGGGCUAGAGGGCAGCAGAGGGAGAUGGAAUUCCCGGUGUAGUGGUGAAAUGCGUAGAUAUCGGGAGGAACACCAGUGGCGAAAGCGGUCUCCUGGGCUGUUCCUGACGCUGAGGCCCGAAAGCGUGGGUAGCAAACAGG
This 253-nucleotide ribosomal RNA is filed under the name uncultured bacterium. RNAcentral describes it as "partial 16S ribosomal RNA". It matches the Rfam family "Bacterial small subunit ribosomal RNA", at positions 524 to 776 of the family's 1533-position model. The record is from RNAcentral.